Molecule: unclassified non-coding RNA, 156 nt
Filed under: uncultured Phlogicylindrium
Lineage: Eukaryota; Fungi; Ascomycota; Sordariomycetes
Description: sequence contains ITS1
Source: RNAcentral
CAGAGUCGUAAAAAACUCCCAAACCCAUGUGAACUUACCUUUGUUGCCUCGGCAGAACCUACCCGGUAGCUACCCUGUAGCUACCCUGUAGCCUGCCGGUGGACCAAUUAACUCUUGUUAUUUUAUAGAAAUCUGAGCGUCUUAUUAAAUAAGUCA